GUCAGAGAAGGCCCCGAGGGAGCCCUUGGAGCCCCAGGUCCUUCAGGACGAUCUCCCAAUUAGCCUCAAAAAGGUGCUUCAGACCAGUCUGCCUGAGCCCCUGAGGAUCAAGUUGGAGCUGGACGGUGACAGUCAUAUCCUGGAGCUGCUACAGAAUAGGGAGUUGGUCCCAGGCCGCCCAACCCUGGUGUGGUACCAGCCCGAUGGCACUCGGGUGGUCAGUGAGGGACACACUUUGGAGAACUGCUGCUACCAGGGAAGAGUGCGGGGAUAUGCAGGCUCCUGGGUGUCCAUCUGCACCUGCUCUGGGCUCAGGCUUGGUGGUCCUGACCCCAGAGAGAAGCUAUACCCUGGAGCAGGGGCCUGGGGACCUUCAGGGUCCUCCCAUUAUUUCGCGAAUCCAAGAUCUCCACCUGCCAGGCCACACCUGUGCCCUGAGCUGGCGGGAAUCUGUACACACUCAGAAGCCACCAGAGCACCCCCUGGGACAGCGCCACAUUCGCCGGGCGGGAUGUGGUAACAGAGACCAAGACUGUGGAGUUGGUGAUUGUGGCUGAUCACUCGGAGGCCCAGAAAUACCGGGACUUCCAGCACCUGCUAAACCGCACACUGGAAGUGGCCCUCUUGCUGGACACAUUCUUCCGGCCCCUGAAUGUACGAGUGGCACUAGUGGGCCUGGAGGCCUGGACCCAGCGUGACCUGGUGGAGAUCAGCCCAAACCCAGCUGUCACCC
Molecule: long non-coding RNA, 733 nt
Filed under: Homo sapiens (human)
Lineage: Eukaryota; Metazoa; Chordata; Mammalia; Primates; Hominidae
Description: long non-coding RNA NONHSAT149864.1
Source: RNAcentral